AAAUUGAAGAGUUUGAUCAUGGCUCAGAUUGAACGCUGGCGGCAGGCCUAACACAUGCAAGUCGAACGGUAACAGGAAGCAGCUUGCUGCUUUGCUGACGAGUGGCGGACGGGUGAGUAAUGUCUGGGAAACUGCCUGAUGGAGGGGGAUAACUACUGGAAACGGUAGCUAAUACCGCAUAACGUCGCAAGACCAAAGAGGGGGACCUUAGGGCCUCUUGCCAUCGGAUGUGCCCAGAUGGGAUUAGCUAGUAGGUGGGGUAACGGCUCACCUAGGCGACGAUCCCUAGCUGGUCUGAGAGGAUGACCAGCCACACUGGAACUGAGACACGGUCCAGACUCCUACGGGAGGCAGCAGUGGGGAAUAUUGCACAAUGGGCGCAAGCCUGAUGCAGCCAUGCCGCGUGUAUGAAGAAGGCCUUCGGGUUGUAAAGUACUUUCAGCGGGGAGGAAGGGAGUAAAGUUAAUACCUUUGCUCAUUGACGUUACCCGCAGAAGAAGCACCGGCUAACUCCGUGCCAGCAGCCGCGGUAAUACGGAGGGUGCAAGCGUUAAUCGGAAUUACUGGGCGUAAAGCGCACGCAGGCGGUUUGUUAAGUCAGAUGUGAAAUCCCCGGGCUCAACCUGGGAACUGCAUCUGAUACUGGCAAGCUUGAGUCUCGUAGAGGGGGGUAGAAUUCCAGGUGUAGCGGUGAAAUGCGUAGAGAUCUGGAGGAAUACCGGUGGCGAAGGCGGCCCCCUGGACGAAGACUGACGCUCAGGUGCGAAAGCGUGGGGAGCAAACAGGAUUAGAUACCCUGGUAGUCCACGCCGUAAACGAUGUCGACUUGGAGGUUGUGCCCUUGAGGCGUGGCUUCCGGAGCUAACGCGUUAAGUCGACCGCCUGGGGAGUACGGCCGCAAGGUUAAAACUCAAAUGAAUUGACGGGGGCCCGCACAAGCGGUGGAGCAUGUGGUUUAAUUCGAUGCAACGCGAAGAACCUUACCUGGUCUUGACAUCCACGGAAGUUUUCAGAGAUGAGAAUGUGCCUUCGGGAACCGUGAGACAGGUGCUGCAUGGCUGUCGUCAGCUCGUGUUGUGAAAUGUUGGGUUAAGUCCCGCAACGAGCGCAACCCUUAUCCUUUGUUGCCAGCGGUCCGGCCGGGAACUCAAAGGAGACUGCCAGUGAUAAACUGGAGGAAGGUGGGGAUGACGUCAAGUCAUCAUGGCCCUUACGACCAGGGCUACACACGUGCUACAAUGGCGCAUACAAAGAGAAGCGACCUCGCGAGAGCAAGCGGACCUCAUAAAGUGCGUCGUAGUCCGGAUUGGAGUCUGCAACUCGACUCCAUGAAGUCGGAAUCGCUAGUAAUCGUGGAUCAGAAUGCCACGGUGAAUACGUUCCCGGGCCUUGUACACACCGCCCGUCACACCAUGGGAGUGGGUUGCAAAAGAAGUAGGUAGCUUAACCUUCGGGAGGGCGCUUACCACUUUGUGAUUCAUGACUGGGGUGAAGUCGUAACAAGGUAACCGUAGGGGAACCUGCGGUU
This 1528-nucleotide ribosomal RNA is filed under the name Escherichia coli. RNAcentral describes it as "bacterial SSU rRNA". It matches the Rfam family "Bacterial small subunit ribosomal RNA". The record is from RNAcentral. Lineage: Bacteria; Pseudomonadati; Pseudomonadota; Gammaproteobacteria; Enterobacterales; Enterobacteriaceae.